CAAAUAUUUAUGUGAGCCCAAAGACCUGUAGCUUUCCAGAAUCUAAAGGAUGCCCACCAUGGGAGGAAAGGUAGAGGACCCAUCCACUGCUAAGCUCUCUGACCUUCCUUCCUGCAACACCACAGAGAACCAAAGAAUUAUUUUAUAUCUAUGCAAGUCAUAUAGAACUAUCCUGGUGUCAGAGACAUAAAGGGCUGUCCUUCAGAAGGAGAUACACCUAGCAGGCACUGUGCUGCAUAUUUUAAAAAGGUGAUUUAUAGGAGGAACCACCUGGUAACACCGGUGUUAUUUCACAGUUUACCACAGAGCACCCUUUAGAGAUGUAGUAUUGUAAGGGAAAUGGUCAGUAUGUUUUUGAUUUGUUCUGAACUGCAGUUUAUCACAGAACCAUAGAGUGGGUAAGAUUGAAAGAGACUACAAUGGCUCAUCUGGCCCAACCUUCCUGCUUAAGCAGGGUCAUCCUAGAGCACAGGGCAUAGGAUUGCAUCCAGAUGGUUCUUGGAUAUCUGCAGUGAAAGAGACUCCACAACUCCUCUGGGUAAUCUGCUGCAGUGUUCUGUCACCCACACAAUAAAGAAGUUCUUCCUCAUACAUUGGUAAGGUCCUCUCACUGUUGUCUCUUCCCAAGGCUGAACAGGCCCAGCUCCCUCAGCCUUUCCUUGUUACAGAUGCUGCAGCUCCCUCUCACCUUUGUGGCCUCUGCUGGACCUGCUCCAGGAGCUCCACCUCUCUUGUACAGACGAGCCAGAAUGGGAUACAGUAAUCAGGAUGCUGCCUCCCCAGGGCUGAGUAGAGGGGCAAGUUUUGUCUCUUCCUGACCCUAAACAAUACUGGAUCUUUCAGAGAGGAAGACAACAGGCAAAUGAUGUACUGGGCUGCCCUGCAAAGUCCAAAGAUCUUCAAGCACACUUUACUUGUCUGCAGAGUCAACUGUACACUCAGUUCAGGUACUAAGUGUUAAAAUGCAUGUCUGUAGAAGAGAAUACCAAGCUGCUAAUCUUGAAGAUGAUUUCAGCACAGCUGCAGAACCUGAGACUGGAAGACCACACACCAGUGCUGUCAAAGGGCUGGUACCCUCACCACUGCCUGGCUCUAGGAGAAAUAAGUUAAGCCCUGAAUUACAGAAUUAUAAAAUUCUUAAUUCUUUAUGAUUUUUCUGCUCCAGUGGAGGAAUGGUUCCAUCUUCUAUGGCCAGUGAAGAUCAGAAAAAGGAACAUCAAAUAUAGGAAGCACAAGUACUAACUAAAUUCAACAACAAUUGGAAACCACGGCUAUGAAGAACAGAAUAAAAUGAAUUUCCAACUGAAAUAUGACCUCUUUGUAAACAUAUGGUUGUGAGAACUAGAAAUCCACCAAAAUAAUUAAAGAGAGGAAACUAGUUGCCUGUUAAAGCAGGUGCCUACCAAAGUUUUAGGGCAUUCAAUGAAAAGUUUCACCACUGACAAAUGAAUGUGAGGAAUCUGCCCUUUCUCCAGAUAGCCAAGAUUUUCUUAAGCACUGCAGAUGCUAACACAUCCUCCUCUGGGGUGCCAUCAAAUAGGAACAAACACAUUUCAGAAAACCCACUGCUGGCUCCCAAGAGAAAACCUGAACAGGAAGCUUUAGGUAGGAGGGAUGAGCCCAUGGUCCCUACACCAGAAGGCUGGAACAGCAGGAAGUGAUGGCAAAAGCUUACUAGAAAUUUCUCAGAAGCAAGAUGGACAGAAUCUCAGCUUAUGUGAAUGAGGUAGAUCCACAGAGGUGAAAGGAGCUCUUACACUACCUGUGAAUCUCGACUAAUGUUACUGCAACUUGAUGGCUGUGAAGCCCCCAGAUAUGCUAGUUCACUGGGAAUACUGAAGGAACGCCACACAAAAUGAGCUACAAAUCUAGAAGAGAAAAGAUUUUGGAAGGAAGAGCAAAGCCCUAGACUGAGACAGAAGAGAGUCAUGUGGUUGCAAGGAAGGAUCAGUAAGUUUGCUGUACGUUAGUAAAAUUAUUUUGCAACUGCCAGAUUUGUUCUCUGACACAGCUGUGUGACCUUCACAGGCAAAACAGCAAACUGUUAUUUACACAAAUAAGUUGUCACUUUUCAUAUGAUCUUCUUUAUAGUACUUAUUGUUUAAGUAGUAGGCUAAAAAGCAGUGGAAAUAAAUCCAAUUGGAAGUUGAAUUAAAGUAUUGGAUAAACCCUAUAAUUAAAUUCAGCACCUUCCCAAAAAUGGUUGAUCUAAACCAUAAAGAUUUCAUUACUUUCUGGCUGAUAAUCUCCUUCUAAAAUAGUGAGAAUUAAAACCAGACUACUAUUAAAUGCAGAUGCUGUUAUAAUCCAUUUUUUACUUGAACUGGAUGGUGCUUAUAUUCAGUUUUGGACAACCUCAUCAAAUAUUUUACACCAAGUAAU
Parus major (Great Tit) is the source of this 2382-nucleotide long non-coding RNA. RefSeq lists it as uncharacterized. The transcript has 6 exons. The record is from RefSeq and is a predicted model, not a curated record. NCBI's taxonomy places the organism in Eukaryota, Metazoa, Chordata, Aves, Passeriformes, Paridae.